Molecule: ribosomal RNA, 634 nt
Filed under: uncultured Actinomycetes bacterium
Lineage: Bacteria; Bacillati; Actinomycetota; Actinomycetes
Description: bacterial SSU rRNA
Rfam family: Bacterial small subunit ribosomal RNA
Source: RNAcentral
GAACACGUGAAGAAUCUGCCCUCCACUUUGGGAUAACACCGGGAAACCGGUGCUAAUACCGAAUAUUGAAACAUAAGUGGCAUCACUGAGUUUUGAAAGAAUUUCGGUGGAGGAUGACUUCGCGGCCUAUCAGCUAGUUGGUGAGGUAAUGGCUCACCAAGGCAACGACGGGUAGCCGGCCUGAGAGGGCGACCGGCCACACUGGGACUGAGACACGGCCCAAACUCCUACGGGAGGCAGCAGUGGGGAAUAUUGGGCAAUGGAGGAAACUCUGACCCAGCGACGCCGCGUGCGGGAUGAAGGCCUUCGGGUUGUAAACCGCUUUCAGUAGGGAAGAAGCGAAAGUGACGGUACCUACAAAAGAAGCACCGGCUAACUAUGUGCCAGCAGCCGCGGUAAUACAUAGGGUGCAAGCGUUGUCCGGAAUUAUUGGGCGUAAAGAGCUCGUAGGUCGUUUGUUACGUCGGAUGUGAAAACCUGAGGCUCAACCUCAGGCCUGCAUUCGAUACGGGCAAACUAGAGUUUGGUAGGGGAGACUGGAAUUCCUGGUGUACCGGUGGAAUGCGCAGAUAACAGGAGGAACACCAAUGGCGAAGGCAGGUCUCUGGGCCAAUACUGACACUGAGGAGCGAAA